RNAcentral lists this ribosomal RNA (303 nucleotides) under Triticum aestivum (bread wheat). RNAcentral's name for it is "partial small subunit ribosomal RNA". The record is from RNAcentral. Lineage: Eukaryota; Viridiplantae; Streptophyta; Magnoliopsida; Poales; Poaceae.
AUGUCUCCUGAUGCUCGUCUAAGCUUGGUCAACUCAGUCCUGUCCGCUAUCCCUGUUCAUCUACUCAGGGCAUUCAAGCUUGACAGCUGGGCGAUCAAACAAAUAGAUAAGCUAAGGAGAAAUUUUCUGUGGCGUUCUAGGCCAAACUCCGAUAAGGGCAUGCCACUGGUAAACUAGAGCUCGGUUUGUCGCCCGAAAAACCUCGAUGGCCUUGGCAUUCUGGACAUUUGGAGAUUCAACAGAGCUUUGCGCCUUAGAUGGAAGUGGGUUGACUGGACAGAUAAAGGACGACCGUGGGCGGGA